Scylla paramamosain (green mud crab) is the source of this 953-nucleotide long non-coding RNA. RefSeq lists it as uncharacterized. The record is from RefSeq and is a predicted model, not a curated record. The transcript has 4 exons. Lineage: Eukaryota; Metazoa; Arthropoda; Malacostraca; Decapoda; Portunidae.
CACGGAUUUUUAAGGAUGUUUAUAUGGUUCUAGUGACAGAUUAACAAGAAUUCUACAUCAUUUACAGGAGAAACAUUCUUGAGAACCCGGCUCAGUAUCGCUGUGGUCUUUGAAAUAGUCGUGGUGAGAGAGCAAAGCGUUUCAGAGACGGGCCAUGAGGAAGGGAGACCCGGUAGAGUCACCAUCCAGCCACCAGAACGAGCAGUUGUUCCCUGGAGGUGCAAGGGAGAAGGUAUGUCGCUCCGCUACCUGUAAGUUCAUCUACAGGCAUAAUUUUUAAGGAGGAUGUGAAUGCUUCUGGAGCAGCUUCAGGAGACGGGAAUCCAGCAGGAUGGGGUUCACUGACAAGUCAGUGACUACUGACUUGACUGGAGAAACUACUGCUGGUCGUGCCCCUGCCCUACAAUGCAUAACAGAAAGAGAUUGAUCGUUCCACCUGCUAUCAGAGAGGAUGUUCUGUGUGAUAGUGACCUUGGCCUCUGGGAUCUCUCUUUGAACAAAUGCAUCAUACUGCCUGGAGUAACAGGAAGCAUGACCAACCAGGCUCAUGUCACAUCUGUCUAGUGAGCAAGAGGUUUCCUGAACAAGUUGGACUGUUGCCAGAAAGUUUGGCUGUAUUUUUUAUAUGGAUGGUGAUGGAUCGGUGAUGAUUGUGGGAGUGUUUGGGACAGAUUUCAUUCUGGUGUGUGCUGAAAGUUAUUUUUCUGUGGAUGGUGUUAUAGGGGAGAGAGGUAAAUAAAUGAAAGAAUGUUAAGUAGAGAUUUGAGUUGUGUGUGUGUGUGCUGGAGACCAAUUUACUGCACAGAAAUUGAAAGAGUACCUGUGGUCAAGAGUAAAUUUAGUAUUUUUCCUCAAUCUUUAUUUACUCAAGAAUAUCCCUACAAGUGAUUGUUUUUUUCCUUCAAUCUUUACUUACAUUUUCUUAGAAUUAAAUCAAUUUCACCCAAUGCUUU